AAAUGCACAUGCUGUGAGCUCGAUGAGUAGGGCGGGACACGUGGUAUCCUGUCUGAAUAUGGGGGGACCAUCCUCCAAGGCUAAAUACUCCUGACUGACCGAUAGUGAACCAGUACCGUGAGGGAAAGGCGAAAAGAACCCCGGCGAGGGGAGUGAAAAAGAACCUGAAACCGUGUACGUACAAGCAGUGGGAGCACGCUUAGGCGUGUGACUGCGUACCUUUUGUAUAAUGGGUCAGCGACUUAUAUUCUGUAGCAAGGUUAACCGAAUAGGGGAGCCGAAGGGAAACCGAGUCUUAACUGGGCGUUAAGUUGCAGGGUAUAGACCCGAAACCCGGUGAUCUAGCCAUGGGCAGGUUGAAGGUUGGGUAACACUAACUGGAGGACCGAACCGACUAAUGUUGAAAAAUUAGCGGAUGACUUGUGGCUGGGGGUGAAAGGCCAAUCAAACCGGGAGAUAGCUGGUUCUCCCCGAAAGCUAUUUAGGUAGCGCCUCGUGAAUUCAUCUCCGGGGGUAGAGCACUGUUUCGGCAAGGGGGUCAUCCCGACUUACCAACCCGAUGCAAACUGCGAAUACCGGAGAAUGUUAUCACGGGAGACACACGGCGGGUGCUAACGUCCGUCGUGAAGAGGGAAACAACCCAGACCGCCAGCUAAGGUCCCAAAGUCAUGGUUAAGUGGGAAACGAUGUGGGAAGGCCCAGACAGCCAGGAUGUUGGCUUAGAAGCAGCCAUCAUUUAAAGAAAGCGUAAUAGCUCACUGGUCGAGUCGGCCUGCGCGGAAGAUGUAACGGGGCUAAACCAUGCACCGAAGCUGCGGCAGCGACGCUUAUGCGUUGUUGGGUAGGGGAGCGUUCUGUAAGCCUGUGAAGGUGUGCUGUGAGGCAUGCUGGAGGUAUCAGAAGUGCGAAUGCUGACAUAAGUAACGAUAAAGCGGGUGAAAAGCCCGCUCGCCGGAAGACCAAGGGUUCCUGUCCAACGUUAAUCGGGGCAGGGUGAGUCGACCCCUAAGGCGAGGCCGAAAGGCGUAGUCGAUGGGAAACAGGUUAAUAUUCCUGUACUUGGUGUUACUGCGAAGGGGGGACGGAGAAGGCUAUGUUGGCCGGGCGACGGUUGUCCCGGUUUAAGCGUGUAGGCUGGUUUUCCAGGCAAAUCCGGAAAAUCAAGGCUGAGGCGUGAUGACGAGGCACUACGGUGCUGAAGCAACAAAUGCCCUGCUUCCAGGAAAAGCCUCUAAGCAUCAGGUAACAUCAAAUCGUACCCCAAACCGACACAGGUGGUCAGGUAGAGAAUACCAAGGCGCUUGAGAGAACUCGGGU
Molecule: ribosomal RNA, 1317 nt
Filed under: Escherichia coli
Lineage: Bacteria; Pseudomonadati; Pseudomonadota; Gammaproteobacteria; Enterobacterales; Enterobacteriaceae
Description: partial 23S ribosomal RNA
Rfam family: Bacterial large subunit ribosomal RNA
Source: RNAcentral